This 2083-nucleotide unclassified non-coding RNA is filed under the name Hevea brasiliensis (rubber tree). The record is from RNAcentral. Lineage: Eukaryota; Viridiplantae; Streptophyta; Magnoliopsida; Malpighiales; Euphorbiaceae.
GAAGAAGAAGAAGAAGAAGAACAAAGACACCCUUUGAAUAUUGUAUUCAUUCUACGCUUUUUUGUGCUGUUGGUUGUUAUUGUGGUCAACUUAUUCUAGAGUUGAAUUAUAUAUGUGUUUUCUUUUAUAGGAUGCUGGCCUUAAACAGGUAAAUUUUGGAGUGAAUCAAAUGGAAACCCUUGGGAUAUAUUUUCUGGUCAUUGGUAAUAAAAUAUAUACAAGGUCACAGACAUUAAGAAAUGUGAUCCAGGACAACUUGGAAAUUACAAUUUAGGGCUUUCUCUCUUUUAUAUAUUGGUUUGAAAGCUAGUAUAGGUAGGAAAUUGUGUGGGUCAUUUAAGGGGAAUGAGCAGGGAUCACAGUUUGAAGUGCAAAACAACAACUUGAAAGUAAUUGAGGUUUCUCUGGAGCUAUUUGAUAGCAAAGAAAAAUUAGAGUAUGGAAUUUUAGAUGUUUGAAGGCAAGAAUUCAGAAUAGAAUUAUGUCAAAAUGUGCACGCAAACUUGAAGAAAAAUAAUAAGAUCCUAAACUUCAAAUUUAGAAGUCUUUAGGCUGCACACUCAAGGUUUGAUAGGCAUUAAAUUCAGGGUUGAAUUGCAACAUACAAUCAAACAAGAAAAAUAGUUGGAAAUUUUCUCUUCCCAUAAAACAUUACAAACAUGUUUAUUCAUGGACUAAAAUGAACCAAACCAUUGCUUCGUCUGUUUGUUCUUCCAUUAUGAUAAAAGUGUUUCUUAUUUUCAUCACAAAUUGCUGCCCUGUCUUUUAUGGAUCAUAGGGUCAUUCUCCUGGGAACAUAUCCCCUUUCCCUUCGACAAGAAGUGACUUGUUCCCACUCACAUUAUUUCUGAUUUGUUAUGUCAUUUUAACUGCAUUGAGAUGUUGGAGCAAUUAACUUUUCAGUGAAUUGACAAAGUGUGAGGCCUAUAUUGGCAGCAAUCCUAAAUUUUGACAAACAGCUACAUGUAUGUUAUAACAACAUGCAACUCAUGAUUACUCUUGCAAUUAUCCAUUAUGAACAUGUCUUGAUCACUCUGGCUGCAGUUUUUUUUUUUUUGUCAUAUGCAAAUCAUAUUCAUCUCUAGUCUAACCUGAUCUGCUAGCAUCCCCUAUAUUAUCAUGCUUUUGUCAGAGGCGCAAUGGGGAUCCACUUCGUGUCUAUAUGGAUCUUGAGGCUGGCAGGAAAAGAUCAGGUCUUGAGGAUAUAUUUAUUAGUUAUCAUGCAGAAGAUGAUGUUCAGUCGACUUAUGCUGGUGCACUCUUUCAUAAUGGUCGAAACUAUCAUGUGUCCCGUCGUAAGAACAAUGACACACUUGUUUAUUGGUCUUCAUCACGUUGUCUUGCGCAAAGAAACCAGUUGGCUAAAAGUUUCCUCAGCUUAAUACCACACCAUUCAUUUGGGAAGUGCUUGAACAAUGUUGGUGGACUGGAUAUGGCUCUCUCUCUGUAUCCUGAGUGUGCCAAUGAUGCCAGCGUUAAGCCAAAAUGGUGGGAUCAUCUGCAUUGUGCGAUGUCUCACUACAAAUUUGUGCUUGCGAUUGAAAAUACUGCAAUGGAGAGUUAUGUGACUGAAAAGCUAUUUUAUGCCCUGGACUCUGGUGCAGUUCCAAUAUAUUUCGGUGCACCAAAUGUGCACGAUUUUGUUCCUCCACAUUCAAUAAUAGAUGGGACGAAAUUCAGCUCCAUGCAAGAACUGGCUUCUUAUGUCAAGACCCUUGCUAAUGAUCCUGUAGCCUAUGCAGAAUACCACGCAUGGAGAAGAUGUGGCGUUUUGGGCAACUAUGGAAAGACUCGUGCAGUUAGCCUUGACACGUUGCCUUGCCGAUUGUGUGAAGCUGUUGGUAGAAAAGGAGGUAGAAAUGCAAGAGCUUAGUGGAAUUUUCUGGAUAUAUAUUCCAUCUGGGUAAGCUGGCUGGCCACAUGAUUCCAAGAUUUUGCUAAUUGGGUGGGCUUACUGCUAGGUUUAUACAGUCAAGAAUGUCAUGUUGUAUAAAGUGAAGAUUCUAAUUGUGUAAAAUUGAGAAAUUCAGAUAGUAAUCUAAACCCCAUCCUAAGCCCACAUUUUUGUUGAUUUAUUUUCCAA